This 253-nucleotide ribosomal RNA is filed under the name uncultured bacterium. RNAcentral's name for it is "partial 16S ribosomal RNA". It matches the Rfam family "Bacterial small subunit ribosomal RNA", at positions 524 to 776 of the family's 1533-position model. The record is from RNAcentral.
UACGGAGGGGGCUAGCGUUGUUCGGAAUCACUGGGCGUAAAGGGUGCGUAGGCGGGUCUUUAAGUCAGGGGUGAAAUCCUGGAGCUCAACUCCAGAACUGCCUUUGAUACUGAAGAUCUUGAGUCCGGGAGAGGUGAGUGGAACUGCGAGUGUAGAGGUGAAAUUCGUAGAUAUUCGCAAGAACACCAGUGGCGAAGGCGGCUCACUGGCCCGAUACUGACGCUGAGGCACGAAAGCGUGGGGAGCAAACAGG